Molecule: long non-coding RNA, 1090 nt
Filed under: Chrysemys picta bellii (western painted turtle)
Lineage: Eukaryota; Metazoa; Chordata; Testudines; Emydidae
Description: lncRNA (ENSCPBG00000027588.1)
Source: RNAcentral
UGAGACACUGUUGAAAAUUACCCAACAUUACUUUGACUUUUCUAUUCUUUUUCUCUUUUUAGCAAUUGUGCCCUGAGUUUGUAGAGCAUGCUGUUAUCCAAAAAGUAUGAAGAAGAUUGAAUGUCUCAUUAUAACUCUUGUCCAAAGUGUCCAAGAAAACAUAUCGAGUAACAACCAAAAUGUCACCAGCUGAGUGAAACACUUAUAAGCUUACCUGCUUCCACCACUUGCAUGAGCAAGGAUGUUUCUAUAAGGAUAAGUUCCAGCAGAAGAGAAGAGGAAAUGCAUUUCCAUCUCCAAUCUUGACUCCUCAUUUCAAGUUAUAUUAUGAGCCAAGUGAAAAAUGGACAAGAGGAAGGAAGAGUCAGAAUACAUCAGUUGCCGGCUUCCAGCCAGCUAACUACAAUGGCAGACCACAGAAUAUGCAUGACCCCGGAGGAAGGACCCAUAUCCCUGAGGUACAACUCUGUUCUUGUUUAAAAACAAAACACAUCUUAGCGUAAUAAAAUGUCCAAUGGAAUGAAUGGAGGUGGUUGGAUUUUUUCAGCUAGCAGGUGAGCUCCAAAUAGAGCAGAGAAGGAGUCAACAGGCGGUGGAGAAGAGCUGAACUCCACUGAAUCUCUGGUCUAGACAUAGGCCACUACAUGAACUAGGCCAUAGGCCACUACAGCGCACAAGCGACCAGGGAGCUUUUGCGAACAGGGGCUGCUAAGGGAGUUUCGCAAGGGAGUUCUCCAGGUGAAGGAGGAGCAAUACAGCACCCUUGGGGUAAGUGACUGUCUGUAGUGUGUGUUUGUGUUUGGGGGUUACUUGCUGUGUGCUGAGCUUGUGUUUAUCAGUCUGUUUGGUUGUUUGAAGGACUGUGUGCUGUGGCUGGCAGUUGGGGGCCUGUAUCCGAAAUGUUACGGAGGCAUUGUCGAGGAUUAUCCAGCCCUCUGACUACUACUCCAUACUAUUCAUCCAUGUGGGCACAAAUGAUACUGUGAGGUGUGACACUGAGCAGAUCAAGAGUGACUACAGGGCUCUGGGAGUAUGGGUCUAGGAGUUUGGCGUGCAGGUGGUAUUCUCUUUGAUUCUUCCUGUCAAAGGU